GGCUUGUGGUUUAGUGGUAUAAUUUUCCCUUAGCAUGUGAUCUCUAUAUCACCAAGCGUGGGAAAGGUCCUGGGUUCGAGUGUGUAACCCACCGCAGACG
Molecule: non-coding RNA, 100 nt
Organism: Polyplosphaeria fusca
Lineage: Eukaryota; Fungi; Ascomycota; Dothideomycetes; Pleosporales; Tetraplosphaeriaceae
Source: the annotation of a GenBank genome assembly